CCGACUAGAGGGGGGGUUAAUAGGCGGUUUUAAGCUAAAGCAUAAAACUUAAUAAACUUUCAUUAGAAACCCACAAGAUAAGCAACAACUAGUAAAUCUACUACUAGGUAUGUCAAGACGAGCUAGGAUGACAAGUAAUUAAAACAAGAUAGAUGAAAGCAUUCACUUGAAGUAAGUACUACUACGAAGGUAGAGAGCAAGAAGACAACCGAGAGAGAGAGACCGAUGUUUUCCCGUGGUGUCGAUGACUUGCCGGUCACCCCUAAUCCACGUUGAGGUGGAUUCAAUGAUUAAAUCGCUUCUCUAUCAAGACACCGC
Molecule: long non-coding RNA, 318 nt
Filed under: Setaria viridis
Lineage: Eukaryota; Viridiplantae; Streptophyta; Magnoliopsida; Poales; Poaceae
Description: long non-coding RNA (SVIR_LNC000124)
Source: RNAcentral